GACGAACGCUGGCGGCGUGCUUAACACAUGCAAGUCGAACGGAAAGGCCCUGCUCUUGCGGGGUGCUCGAGUGUUGAACGGGUGUGUAACACGUGAGUAACCUGCCCUUUACUUUGGGAUAACUUUAGGAAACUGGGGCUAUUAUCGGAUAGGACCUCCUGCUGCACGGUGGGGGUUGGAAAGUUUCGCCGGUUGGGGAUGGACUCGCGGCUUAUCAGCUUGUUGGUGGGGUAGUGGCUUACCAAGGCUUUGACGAGUAGCCGGCCUGAGAGGGUGACCGGCCACAUUGGGACUGAGAUGCGGCCCGGACUCCUACGGGAGGCAGGGGUGCAGAAGAGAGCACGAUAGGCGGAGGGCUGGUGCAACGACGCCGCGUCGGGGAUGACGGCCUUCAGGUUGGAAAGCGUGUUCGCCUGUGAAGAGGAGAGAGUGACGGUAACUGAUAAAGAAGCACCGGCUAACUACGUG
Molecule: ribosomal RNA, 468 nt
Filed under: uncultured bacterium
Lineage: Bacteria
Description: partial 16S ribosomal RNA
Rfam family: Bacterial small subunit ribosomal RNA
Source: RNAcentral